Molecule: ribosomal RNA, 458 nt
Filed under: uncultured bacterium
Lineage: Bacteria
Description: partial 16S ribosomal RNA
Rfam family: Bacterial small subunit ribosomal RNA
Source: RNAcentral
CCUACGGGUGGCAGCAGUGGGGAAUAUUGCACAAUGGGCGCAAGCCUGAUGCAGCGACGCCGCGUGCGGGAUGGAGGCCUUCGGGUUGUAAACCGCUUUUGUUCAAGGGCAAGGCACGGUCUUUGGCCGCGUUGAGUGGAUUGUUCGAAUAAGCACUGGCUACCUCCGCGCCAGCAGCCGCGGCAAUACGUAGGGUGCAAGCGUUAUCCGGAUUUAUUGGGAGUAAAGGGUUCGUAGGCGGUUCGUCGCGUCCGGUGUGAAAGUCCAUGGCUUAACGGUGGGACGGCGCCGGUUACGGGCGGGCUUGAGUGCGGUAGGGGAGACUGGAAUUCCCGGUGUAGCAGUGGAAUGUGUAGAUAUCGGGAAGAACACCAAUGGCGAAGGCAGGUCUCUGGGCCGUUACUGACGCUGAGGAACGAAGGCGUGGGGAGCGAACAGGAUUAGAUACCCCAGUAGUC